This 301-nucleotide ribosomal RNA is filed under the name uncultured bacterium. RNAcentral describes it as "partial 16S ribosomal RNA". It matches the Rfam family "Bacterial small subunit ribosomal RNA", at positions 509 to 807 of the family's 1533-position model. The record is from RNAcentral.
CAGCAGCCGCGGUAAAACGUAGGUGGCAAGCGUUGUCCGGAAUUAUUGGGCGUAAAGGGCUCGCAGGCGGUUUCUUAAGUCUGAUGUGAAAGCCCCCGGCUCAACCGGGGAGGGUCAUUGGAAACUGGGAAACUUGAGUGCAGAAGAGGAGAGUGGAAUUCCACGUGUAGCGGUGAAAUGCGUAGAGAUGUGGAGGAACACCAGUGGCGAAGGCGACUCUCUGGUCUGUAACUGACGCUGAGGAGCGAAAGCGUGGGGAGCGAACAGGAUUAGAUACCCCGGUAGUCCCUGUCUCUUAUAC